GCGUACGCCGGUGACCAAAUCGAUUCCCCUUUUGACCUGCUGCCGCUUGCGACCACAGACGCCUGAGCGUGGGGGUGGGGCACCGUCGUCUGGCAGACCGGCCGCUGUGGCUUGCCGGCGUGGCCGCGUGGGGGGUGGCCGCUGGUCGCUGGCGGGUGGUCGGCUAGGGCUAGCCGCUGUUCCAUCCACUCCUCCACUCCGGCCUCUGCUGCGGACAUCAGGCGACCACAUCGGCGCCCUGUAGUGAGCCGCAAGUGCCGAGUGAGCAUUCUCAACUUUGAGGAUCAUUAAGACAAGGCUGUAGUGAACUGAAUGUUCCAUGGUUAAAUGGCAUCACGGAGAAGUACAACUAUGAGGAUGUUCUUAUGCACUUUAAGGGUGGAAAGAAACGAAAAGAUAAUCUGUAGUGCAGUGUUGUUGUAGUGAACUGAAUGCUUCAUGGUUAAAUAGCAUUUUGGUAUAGUUCCUUUUGUUAUGGAGUAGGUUAUAUAUAUAAUUAAAAUUAGAAAUGUAUUUUGUAAGCUACUUUGGAGAAGAUCAAUAUAAUUGUACAAGUUUCUCGAUA
Triticum aestivum (bread wheat) is the source of this 565-nucleotide long non-coding RNA. RefSeq lists it as uncharacterized. The transcript has 2 exons. The record is from RefSeq and is a predicted model, not a curated record. NCBI's taxonomy places the organism in Eukaryota, Viridiplantae, Streptophyta, Magnoliopsida, Poales, Poaceae.